This 350-nucleotide long non-coding RNA is filed under the name Phoenix dactylifera (date palm). RNAcentral describes it as "long non-coding RNA (PDAC_LNC002145)". Lineage: Eukaryota; Viridiplantae; Streptophyta; Magnoliopsida; Arecales; Arecaceae. The record is from RNAcentral.
CUUAUAAUUUUUUUUCUUCUCUUCUCAAAAAUAAAAAAAAAAGAGGGUUACAUGGGUGUAUGUGGUGUUUGUUUUUCUGAUGAAAGGUGUAUGUGUUUUUUGAAUGGGACAUGUCAAAGGGACAAAAAAGAGAUGGAAAUUGUGGAGAGGAAGAAGAAUCUUUUUAGGUCUGUUGAUUUGAAUUGGUACAAGGAGUCCAAAGGUACCAAAACCAGGGCCUAAGCACAUGACCGCCUGGCCACCUUGAUUCCCUUCUCAUGAACCCCUGCAAGCUUUUGCCUUUGUUCUUUGCAAGAAGUUACCAUGCCUCUUUGCUUUAUCUCCUGCUUUUCCUUUUCCUCCCUUCAAAC